RNAcentral lists this ribosomal RNA (559 nucleotides) under uncultured bacterium. RNAcentral describes it as "bacterial SSU rRNA". It matches the Rfam family "Bacterial small subunit ribosomal RNA", at positions 269 to 842 of the family's 1533-position model. The record is from RNAcentral.
CAAGGCGACGAUCAGUAGCCGGACUGAGAGGUUGGCCGGCCACAUUGGGACUGAGACACGGCCCAGACUCCUACGGGAGGCAGCAGUGGGGAAUAUUGGGCAAUGGGCGCAAGCCUGACCCAGCAACGCCGCGUGAAGGAAGAAGGCUUUCGGGUUGUAAACUUCUUUUCUCAGGGACGAAGCAAGUGACGGUACCUGAGGAAUAAGCCACGGCUAACUACGUGCCAGCAGCCGCGGUAAUACGUAGGUGGCAAGCGUUAUCCGGAUUUACUGGGUGUAAAGGGCGUGUAGGCGGGACUGCAAGUCAGAUGUGAAAACCACGGGCUCAACCUGUAGCCUGCAUUUGAAACUGUAGUUCUUGAGUACUGGAGAGGCAGACGGAAUUCCUAGUGUAGCGGUGAAAUGCGUAGAUAUUAGGAGGAACACCAGUGGCGAAGGCGGUCUGCUGGACAGCAACUGACGCUGAGGCGCGAAAGCGUAGGGAGCAAACAGGAUUAGAUACCCUGGUAGUCCACGCUGUAAACGAUGGAUACUAGGUGUGGGGGGACUGACCCCCUCC